This 403-nucleotide ribosomal RNA is filed under the name uncultured microorganism. RNAcentral's name for it is "bacterial SSU rRNA". It matches the Rfam family "Archaeal small subunit ribosomal RNA", at positions 330 to 735 of the family's 1478-position model. The record is from RNAcentral.
GCGCACCAGGCGCGAAACCUCCGCAAUACACGAAAGUGUGACGGGGCCAUCCCGAGUGCCGUCCGCUGAGGACGGCUUUUCCCCAGUGUACACAGCUGGGGGAAUAAGGAGAGGGCAAGCCUGGCGUCAGCCGCCGCGGUAAUACCAGCUCUCCGAGUGGUGGGGACGCUUAUUGGGCCUAAAGCAUCCGUAGCCGGCUGGGCAAGUCCUCCGUUAAAUCCAACGAUUCAAUCGUUGGGCUGCGGGGGAUACUGUCCAGCUUGGGGGCGGGAGAGGCCGACGGUAUUCCCGGGGUAGGGGUGAAAUCCUAUAAUCCCGGGAGGACCACCAGUGGCGAAGGCUGUCGGCUAGAACGCGCCCGACGGUGAGGGAUGAAAGCUGGGGGAGCGAACCGGAUUAGAUA